RNAcentral lists this ribosomal RNA (236 nucleotides) under uncultured bacterium. Its description in RNAcentral is "partial 16S ribosomal RNA". It matches the Rfam family "Bacterial small subunit ribosomal RNA", at positions 15 to 233 of the family's 1533-position model. The record is from RNAcentral.
GAUCGUGGCUCAGGAUGAACGCUGGCGGCGUGCUUAACACAUGCAAGUCGAACGAAGCACUUAAGAUUGAUUCUUCGGAUGAUUUCUUUUGUGACUUAGUGGCGGACGGGUGAGUAGCGCGUGGGUAACCUGCCUCACACAGGGGGAUAACAGUUAGAAAUGACUGCUAAUACCGCAUAACCCGAUAGGAUCGCAUGAUCCAGACGGAAAAGAUUUAUCGGUGUGAGAUGGACCCG